This 691-nucleotide ribosomal RNA is filed under the name uncultured Enterobacterales bacterium. RNAcentral's name for it is "bacterial SSU rRNA". It matches the Rfam family "Bacterial small subunit ribosomal RNA", at positions 65 to 747 of the family's 1533-position model. The record is from RNAcentral. Lineage: Bacteria; Pseudomonadati; Pseudomonadota; Gammaproteobacteria; Enterobacterales.
AACGGUAGCACAGAGAGCUUGCUCUCGGGUGACGAGUGGCGGACGGGUGAGUAAUGUCUGGGAAACUGCCUGAUGGAGGGGGAUAACUACUGGAAACGGUAGCUAAUACCGCAUAACGUCGCAAGACCAAAGAGGGGGACCUUCGGGCCUCUUGCCAUCAGAUGUGCCCAGAUGGGAUUAGCUAGUAGGUGGGGUAACGGCUCACCUAGGCGACGAUCCCUAGCUGGUCUGAGAGGAUGACCAGCCACACUGGAACUGAGACACGGUCCAGACUCCUACGGGAGGCAGCAGUGGGGAAUAUUGCACAAUGGGCGCAAGCCUGAUGCAGCCAUGCCGCGUGUAUGAAGAAGGCCUUCGGGUUGUAAAGUACUUUCAGCGGGGAGGAAGGUGUUGCGGUUAAUAACCGCAGCAAUUGACGUUACCCGCAGAAGAAGCACCGGCUAACUCCGUGCCAGCAGCCGCGGUAAUACGGAGGGUGCAAGCGUUAAUCGGAAUUACUGGGCGUAAAGCGCACGCAGGCGGUCUGUCAAGUCGGAUGUGAAAUCCCCGGGCUCAACCUGGGAACUGCAUUCGAAACUGGCAGGCUAGAGUCUUGUAGAGGGGGGUAGAAUUCCAGGUGUAGCGGUGAAAUGCGUAGAGAUCUGGAGGAAUACCGGUGGCGAAGGCGGCCCCCUGGACAAAGACUGACGCU